Molecule: ribosomal RNA, 467 nt
Filed under: uncultured bacterium
Lineage: Bacteria
Description: partial 16S ribosomal RNA
Rfam family: Bacterial small subunit ribosomal RNA
Source: RNAcentral
ACGAACGCUGGCGGCGUGCUUAACCCAUGCCAGUCGAACGGAAAGGCCCUGCUUUUGUGGGGUGCUCGAGUGGCGAACGGGUGAGUAACACGUGAGUAACCUGCCCUUGACUUUGGGAUAACUUCAGGAAACUGGGGCUAAUACCGGAUAGGAGCUCCUGCUGCAUGGUGGGGGUUGGAAAGUUUCGGCGGUUGGGGAUGGACUCGCGGCUUAUCAGCUUGUUGGUGGGGUAGUGGCUUACCAAGGCUUUGACGGGUAGCCGGCCUGGGAGGGUGACCGGCCACAUUGGGACUGAGAUACGGCCCAGACUCCUACGGGAGGCAGCAGUGGGGAAUAUUGCACAAUGGGCGGAAGCCUGAUGCAGCAACGCCGCGUGCGGGAUGACGGCCUUCGGGUUGUAAACCGCUUUCGCCUGUGACGAAGCGUGAGUGACGGUAAUGGGUAAAGAAGCACCGGCUAACUACGUG